Molecule: ribosomal RNA, 497 nt
Filed under: uncultured bacterium
Lineage: Bacteria
Description: partial 16S ribosomal RNA
Rfam family: Bacterial small subunit ribosomal RNA
Source: RNAcentral
GAUGAACGCUGGCGGCGUGCCUAAUACAUGCAAGUCGAGCGAACGGACGUGAUUUUUGUUUUUCUGAUGUUGUCGUCGGACGGGUGAGUAAUACGUGGCUCACCUAUCUUUUACACUGGGCUAACUUCUGGAACCCGGAGCUUAUACCUGAUAAUCUUUUGAACCGCAUGGUUCUAACUUUAAUGACGGUCUUUCUUUUACUGAUUGAUGAUUCCCCGCUGCAUUAGCUAGUUGUUGAGGUAAUGGUUUACUAAGGCAACGAUGCCUAGCGGACCUGAGAGGGUGAUCGGGCACAAUGGAACUGAGACACGGUCCAGACUCAGACGGGAGGCAGAAGUAGGGAAGCUGCAGAAAUGGGCGAAAGCCUGACGGAGCAACGCCGCGUGAGUGAUGAAGGUCUUCGGAUCGUAAAACUCUGUUAUUAGGGAAGAACAGAUGUGUAAGUAACUGUGCACAUCGUGACGGUACCUAAACAGAAAGCCACGGCUAACUACGUG